Molecule: ribosomal RNA, 253 nt
Filed under: uncultured bacterium
Lineage: Bacteria
Description: partial 16S ribosomal RNA
Rfam family: Bacterial small subunit ribosomal RNA
Source: RNAcentral
UACAGAGGGUGCAAGCGUUAAUCGGAAUUACUGGGCGUAAAGCGCACGUAGGUGGUUAGAUAAGUUGGAUGUGAAAGCCCUGGGCUCAACCUAGGAAUUGCAUUCAAUACUGUUUGGCUAGAGUAUGAUAGAGGAUAGUGGAAUUUCCGGUGUAGCGGUGAAAUGCGUAGAUAUCGGGAAGAACACCCGUGGCGAAGGCGGCACUCUGGGACGGUACUGACGCUGAGACGCGAAAGCGUGGGGAGCGAACAGG